Molecule: ribosomal RNA, 253 nt
Filed under: uncultured bacterium
Lineage: Bacteria
Description: partial 16S ribosomal RNA
Rfam family: Bacterial small subunit ribosomal RNA
Source: RNAcentral
UACGGAGGGGGCUAGCGUUGUUCGGAAUUACUGGGCGUAAAGCGCACGUAGGCGGCUUUGUAAGUUAGAGGUGAAAGCCCGGAGCUCAACCCCGGAAUUGCCUUUAAGACUGCAUCGCUAGAAUUGUGGAGAGGUGAGUGGAAUUCCGAGUGUAGAGGUGAAAUUCGUAGAUAUUCGGAAGAACACCAGUGGCGAAGGCGACUCACUGGACACAUAUUGACGCUGAGGUGCGAAAGCGUGGGGAGCAAACAGG